Long non-coding RNA from Oncorhynchus keta (chum salmon), 378 nucleotides. RefSeq lists it as uncharacterized. The transcript has 3 exons. Lineage: Eukaryota; Metazoa; Chordata; Actinopteri; Salmoniformes; Salmonidae. The record is from RefSeq and is a predicted model, not a curated record.
GAUGGAUUCUAUCUGGUUGUCAGUGGUGCUGCAGUAGGUAAGUAUGAGAUGGAUUCUAUCUGUUUGUCAGUGGUGCUGCAGUAGGUAAGUAUGAGAUGGAUUCUAUCUGUUUGUCAGUGGUGCUGCAGUAGGUAAGUAUGAGGUGGAUUCUAUCUGUUUGUCAGUGGUGCUGCAGUAGGUAAGUAUGAGAUGGAUUCUAUCUGGUUGUCAGUGGUGCUGCAGUAGGUAAGUAUGAGGUGGAUUCUAUCUGUUUGUCAGUGGUGCUGCAGUAGGUAAGUAUGAGGUGGAUUCUAUCUGUUUGUCAGUGGUGCUGCAGUAGGUAAGUAUGAGAUGGAUUCUAUCUGGUUGUCAGUGGUGCUGCAGUAGGUAAGUAUGAGA